RNAcentral lists this ribosomal RNA (206 nucleotides) under Bregetovia mucronata. Its description in RNAcentral is "partial 16S ribosomal RNA". The record is from RNAcentral. Lineage: Eukaryota; Metazoa; Arthropoda; Arachnida; Sarcoptiformes; Avenzoariidae.
UAUGAAUGAAUUUACUAAUAUGGCUUUUUUAUUUUUUCUGAAAUUAUAAUUUUGUUGAGAAUAACAAAAUUUUCUUUAAGACAAAAAGACCCUAAAAUUUUUAUAAUAAUGUUAUUAUUUAGUUGGGGAAAUUUAAAUUUUUAAAUACUUUGAAAUAAAAUUAUUAUUGAACUUAUUAUACUGAAAGUUGGAAAAAUACUCUAGGG